UUUUCUUUAACCUACAGACAUGUCUUUCUUUUCUACAUCUUAUUGGUUCUACUAUGCCUUCAGAUGCAAAUAUGAGCCCUUUCAAGAGGCCCUGAAAGUUUUUGAGCAGGAGGCAGGAAAAGAGAGAUCAUUAUUUGCAUUACCUUCAGAGCACUAAGCACUUUUGAUGACUCUUUUUGGCAAUAAACAUGGCAGAUACUGGUGGUUAGUACACCCUAUAGCCAAACACUUUCUUCCUCCUCCUUUGCUAAUAGAAUUUGAUUUGAAGUAAAUGGCAACGUACUAAGCUCUAGGAAGGUAAUCAUGAUUGGUCCAAGUUGCUUCCCUUCUCCAGUGGUUGUUCAGGGAUCGUCAUGUGCCCCAGUUUUGGUGAAUAUAUCAUAAGGGAAGUCUGCUGGAGGCUUCUAGGAAAGGCUUUCCUUUCCCUCAAGAUGCAUAAGAAGAGAAAGCUCUUUUACUUCCCUCCCUCCUUUUCUGUUUUAAACAAAAUCAGGCAAGGACUUGAAUUAUGGAGGUGAAGCAGCUUCCUAGUGACCAUGAAAUUACAAAUCUGAGAAUGAAAGCUAACAUCUCAUAACAAUAUAAUGAAAAAAUGGAAAGAGCCUGGGCCUUUAAUGACUUCAUUGAACCACCACACUAAUCCUGGGGCUACCCUUCUGGACUUUUUUUUUUUUUUUCACUUUCAUAAAUGUCCUCAUCAUUUAAGCCUGUAGGUUAGGUUUUCUCUUUCUUGUCUCUGAAUACAUCUUAAUACAAUCACAAAUGCAGUUUGACUCAAAAUAAUAUAACAUUGAUAGGAUACUGUGGAUCUCUGUCUAGCUCUGCUGUUUAUGUCCUAGGCACCCAUCCCCCAGCUGCUGGGAAUAUGGGCUGUUGACGGCUCAAGUUGUGAUAUGGAAUUGCUUCUCGCAAGGAUACAGACCCAAGCAGGGGGUGGCUGAUGUGCAGAUAAAGCCCUAACCCUCUCCCCUCAAUUUGAGACAACUCUGAAGGGCUAUCUAUAGGAGAAUGGCUAUGCCAUGACAUCCUGAUGACUUUUUAUGUAUCCGUAUAGUGAAGCCUUGAACCAUAGCUUAUCUGAGUCUUGGAGAAAUGCCUUGUGGUCCUCCCAGAACAAGAGAGGAUGGGAGGCCUGUAAGGAGCUACUAUGAGGCCAUCUCCCACUUGCCUCCCUAGCUCCCUCGGGAAACUGUUUUGAGUUGGUUGCUUAUUGCCUCCUAGGUUCUGAUGGAGUGUGGGGCUUUCUACCCCAUUGCCCCCAAAGCAGGGCUGCAGGUGAUAAAGCCACUUUGCUGCAAUCUAGAAUUGGUUUCUCAGCAACUGGGUAUCCCACAACGCAUGUGUCAGUCAUCCAGCCCCUGUCAUUUCAGUGCCAUCCUUUGUGAUACGUGGGACAAGGGUUGUGGGGACUGGAACCUUGGGCUUCUUCUUCUUUUUGUUAUCUAUGUAGGAAAUAAAGUGUCUAGAUCUAAGUGGCUCAUUGAAUCUUUACCAGCAGCAUCAUCAGCUUUUGGCCUUUGGCCCUGUCUUAUAUGUUUGAACUUGACACCCCUCAUAGUUCCCAAGGUUUCUGAAGGAUUGGCUGAGGCCUCAGGGACAACUGCAUUGCAGGCCAGCUUUUCUCUAUGCCCAAUGUACCUUCCUCUCUUCCCUACACAUGUUUCUCCCAAGAACAUUUCCCAGUGAGCCAGCACACAACUCUCUUAUUGUCUGUUUCCAAACCUAAGGUAAUUGGUCCUAGCAGUGGCCUUAGAAAGCAGACUGUAAAAUAGGUAAUUAAAGAUGGAUUAUUCACCCACCAGCUGGCAAGCAGGACCUCAUCACUUGUGGUGGACAGACCUCUGACAUGCUGUAAAGGUGCAGUUGUUAGAAUUUUCACCAAUGGUGAACUGAGAUGGGUGUUCACAGAAAAUGUGUACUGGAUGAAGCAACAUUGCUGGUGCUUGAGAGAUAAGGAGGAAAUUUUAACUAAAAGACUGGCAUUGGGUGGCUGUUGCUAACUGCUAUUGAUUUGUCAAAGAUAGUUCGUGACAGGAUCAGUGUGAUUAAUCAUCAAUUCAAGGCAAAUUAUGAAAGCCAGAGGGCCUCCUUACCAAACCCUAAUCUUCUAUAUCUAGAGCGCAAAUCUAGAGGAAGACCAAGCCCAGGAAUGAAUUACAUUAGCAAAGCUUCAGAGCAAGUUGAAAUCUUAGCCUCAGCAAAUCUCCCAUGCCAAAGCCAAGGCCUUAAUGAGGCAGGACUGCCACCCUGAGAUCUGGGGCUAUCUGGGUAAAUGCACUUGAGAUCUUGAAAUGCCAGACUACCCUGAACUCACUGGGCUUGCAGAGUGGUUCCUUUUUGGAAGAUAGUGAUACUCCUUCUCAUGCCUGGGGCAAUAAACCUUACAAAGUUUCAGGGACCUGUCAGGGAAGUUUUAGGAGUGUAGUGAUCUGGGCCAUGCCAGAAUAUCUCCUCCAAAGUAAAGAAAAAGUUAUUGGAUCUUUUCCUUCCUAUGACCAAGAGAGGUGCACAGCUCUUGGCAGGCUUCAUCAGUUCUGGGGGCAACAUAUUUAGAACUUAAGAAUACUGUCUUGACCUAAUUACCAAGUGACAUGAAAGGCUACUGGCUCCAAAUGGGGCCCAAAGCAAGCCAACCCAAGACACAGCCCUGCUGCUUCAGCCAUGUAAUUUGGCAGACCUUUAGGUACUGUAAGUAUCUGCAGUGGGAAAAGAUGCCAGAUGAAGUUGACAGUAAUCCCUAUUCAUAGGUCGGGUAGGCUCAGUAGCAUCACUGUUGGAUGAAAGUGGUACAUCUGUAAUUGGGCAUUAGCGGGGCCACAGGACAUUAGUAAGCUGCACAAACGGAGACUAUGCCAUUCAGCACGGUGGUCCUGACACCUCUGCAGCAGCCCACACCUAUGCCUGCAAGAGGGAUCUUGAAAAAUGCUUAUAACUGAGUGUGUUAUGGGCUGAGUUGUGCUCCAAUCCCCCAUUCAUAUGUUGAAAUCCUAACCCUUAGUACCUCAGAAUGUGACUGUUAUUUGUAGAUAGGGUCUUUAAAGAUGUAAUUAGGUUUAAAUGAGGUCAUUGAGGUGGACCCUAAUUCAGUAUGACUUGUGUCCUUAUAAGAAGAGGGGGUUAGGACGCAGACCUAGACAGAGGAACGAUCGUGUGAAGACACAGCAAGAACGCAGACUUCUGUAAAGCAGACAUCUACGUAUUUAUUUGUUUAUUUGUUAAUACAUAUGUAAACAUACGAGGAGGGAGGCCUCAGAGGAAACCAAACCUGCCAACAGCUUGACCUUGGACUUCUAGCCUCC
Long non-coding RNA from Macaca fascicularis (crab-eating macaque), 3299 nucleotides. NCBI's taxonomy places the organism in Eukaryota, Metazoa, Chordata, Mammalia, Primates, Cercopithecidae. The record is from Ensembl.